UACGGAGGAUGCAAGCGUUAUCCGGAAUGAUUGGGCGUAAAGCGUCCGCAGGCGGCUAUGUAAGUCUGCUGUUAAAGAGUCUGGCUCAACCAGAUAAAGGCAGUGGAAACUACAUGGCUAGAGUGCGUUCGGGGCAGAGGGAAUUCCUGGUGUAGCGGUGAAAUGCGUAGAGAUCAGGAAGAACAUCGGUGGCGAAGGCGCUCUGCUGGACCAUAACUGACACUCAGGGACGAAAGCUAGGGGAGCGAAUGGG
RNAcentral lists this ribosomal RNA (253 nucleotides) under uncultured bacterium. Its description in RNAcentral is "partial 16S ribosomal RNA". It matches the Rfam family "Bacterial small subunit ribosomal RNA", at positions 524 to 776 of the family's 1533-position model. The record is from RNAcentral.